CGCGGAGUGGAGCAGUGGCAGCUCGUCGGGCUCAUAACCCGAAGGUCGAUGGUUCGAUUCCAUCCUCCGCAACCA
Molecule: transfer RNA, 75 nt
Filed under: Candidatus Peregrinibacteria bacterium
Lineage: Bacteria; Candidatus Peregrinibacteriota
Description: tRNA-Met
Rfam family: tRNA
About the family: Transfer RNA (tRNA) molecules are approximately 80 nucleotides in length.
Source: RNAcentral